GGGGUUAUGGCUCAGCGGUAGAGCACUCGCCUGGUGCGUGCGAGGCCCUGAGUUCAAUCCUCAGCACCA
Ictidomys tridecemlineatus (thirteen-lined ground squirrel) is the source of this 69-nucleotide non-coding RNA. Lineage: Eukaryota; Metazoa; Chordata; Mammalia; Rodentia; Sciuridae. The record is from Rfam.